GACGAACGCUGGCGGCGUGCCUAACACAUGCCAGUCGAGCGCUGAAGGCUUGUACUUGUGCCAACUGGAUGAGCAGCGAACGGGUGAGUAACGCGUGGGGAAUCUGCCUUUGUUCGGGGGACAAUAAUGGGAAACGAAUGCUAAUACCGCAUAAAAACUUUAAACACAGGUUGGAAGGGUGAAAGAUGCAAUUGCAGCACGCAAAGACGAUCCCGCGUUGUUUUAGCUAGGUGGUGAGGUAAAGGCCCACCAAGGGGUUGAUACAUAGCCGCCAUGAGAGGGUGGUCGACCCGAUUGGGAACGAGGCCCGGCCCAAACUGCCACGGGAGGCAGCCGUAGGGCAUCUUCGGCCAAGGAGGGAAGUCUGACCGAGCACCGCCGGGUGAGUGAAGAAGGUUUUCGGAUCGUAAAACUCCGUUGGUAGGGAAGAAAAUUGGUGAGGGUGGAAACCUCAUGAAGUGACGGUAACUACCCAGAAAGGGACGGCUAACUUCGUG
Molecule: ribosomal RNA, 497 nt
Filed under: uncultured bacterium
Lineage: Bacteria
Description: partial 16S ribosomal RNA
Rfam family: Bacterial small subunit ribosomal RNA
Source: RNAcentral